GACAGAGGUGCCAAGCGUUAGGCGGAAUCACUGGGCCUAAAGCGUGUGUAGGCGGAUCGUUAAGUACCUUGUGAAAUCCCACGGCUCAACCGUGGAACUGCUGGGUAUACUGGCGGUCUUGAGCCACCUAGGGGCAACUGGAACAAGCGGUGGAGCGGUGAAAUGCGUAGAUAUCGCUUGGAACGCCAACGGUGAAAACAGGUUGCUGGGGGUGUGCUGACGCUGAGACACGAAAGCCAGGGGAGCGAACGGG
This 253-nucleotide ribosomal RNA is filed under the name uncultured bacterium. RNAcentral describes it as "partial 16S ribosomal RNA". It matches the Rfam family "Bacterial small subunit ribosomal RNA", at positions 524 to 776 of the family's 1533-position model. The record is from RNAcentral.